Molecule: ribosomal RNA, 502 nt
Filed under: uncultured bacterium
Lineage: Bacteria
Description: partial 16S ribosomal RNA
Rfam family: Bacterial small subunit ribosomal RNA
Source: RNAcentral
AUUGAACGCUGGCGGCAGGCUUAACACAUGCAAGUCGAGCGGAGUGAUGGUGCUUGCACUAUCACUUAGCGGCGGACGGGUGAGUAAUGCUUAGGAAUCUGCCUAUUAGUGGGGGACAACAUCUCGAAAGGGAUGCUAAUACCGCAUACGUCCUACGGGAGAAAGCAGGGGAUCACUUGUGACCUUGCGCUAAUAGAUGAGCCUAAGUCGGAUUAGCUAGUUGGUGGGGUAAAGGCCUACCAAGGCGACGAUCUGUAGCGGGUCUGAGAGGAUGAUCCGCCACACUGGGACUGAGACACGGCCCAGACUCCUACGGGAGGCAGCAGUGGGGAAUAUUGGACAAUGGGGGGAACCCUGAUCCAGCCAUGCCGCGUGUGGGGAGAAGGCCUUCGGGUCGUAAAGCACUUUAAGUUGGGAGGAAGGGCUUACAGCGAAUACCUGUGAGUUUUGACGUUACCGACAGAAUAAGCACCGGCUAACUUCGUGCCAGCCGCCGCGGUAA